UACGACGGGUGCAAGCGGUAAUCGGCACUACUGGGCGUAAAGCGCGCGUAGGUGGUUUGUUCAGUUGGAUGUGCAAGCCCCGGGCUCAACCUGGGAACUGCAUCCAAAACUGGCAAGCUAGAGUAUGGCAGAGGGUGGUGGAAUUUCCUGUGUAGCGGUGAAAUGCGUAGAUAUAGGAAGGAACACCAGUGGCGAAGGCGACCACCUGGGCUAAUACUGACACUGAGGUGCGAAAGCGUGGGGAGAAAACAGGAUGAGAUACCCCGGUAGUCC
This 273-nucleotide ribosomal RNA is filed under the name uncultured bacterium. Its description in RNAcentral is "partial 16S ribosomal RNA". It matches the Rfam family "Bacterial small subunit ribosomal RNA", at positions 524 to 796 of the family's 1533-position model. The record is from RNAcentral.